Hymenopellis radicata is the source of this 97-nucleotide non-coding RNA. Lineage: Eukaryota; Fungi; Basidiomycota; Agaricomycetes; Agaricales; Physalacriaceae. The record is from the annotation of a GenBank genome assembly.
UGCCCCAUGGCUGAGUUGGUUACAGCGUCCGACUGUUAUCAGUACACAUCUCUAAACAUGCAAUCGGAAGGUCGAGAGUUCGAGCCUCUCUGGGCAG